GAGUUUGAUCGUGGCUCAGAUUGAACGCUGGCGGCAUGCCUAACACAUGCAAGUCGAACGGCAGCACUGGGAGCUUGCUCCCUGGUGGCGAGUGGCGGACGGGUGAGUAACGCGUAGGAAUCUGCCUCAUAGCGGGGGACAACUCGGGGAAACUCGAGCUAAUACCGCAUACUACUCGAGAGAGGAAAGCAGGGGACCUUCGGGCCUUGCACUAUGAGAUGAGCCUGCGUUGGAUUAGCUAGUUGGUAGGGUAAAGGCCUACCAAGGCGACGAUCCAUAACUGGUUUGAGAGGAUGACCAGUCACACUGGGACUGAGACACGGCCCAGGACUCCUACGGGAGGCAGCAGUGGGGAAUAUUGGACAAUGGGGGAAACCCUGAUCCAGCAAAUGACCGCGUGUG
Molecule: ribosomal RNA, 402 nt
Filed under: uncultured microorganism
Description: bacterial SSU rRNA
Rfam family: Bacterial small subunit ribosomal RNA
Source: RNAcentral